This 1166-nucleotide unclassified non-coding RNA is filed under the name Hevea brasiliensis (rubber tree). The record is from RNAcentral. Lineage: Eukaryota; Viridiplantae; Streptophyta; Magnoliopsida; Malpighiales; Euphorbiaceae.
AAAUAGAGUGCAUUUUGAAGCUUUUUAGCUUCAGUUGGAAAUAUCUAAGCGCGAUUAUUCAUUAAAGCUAUUUGAUUAUCAUUGUGCCACAACCAACACAGGAAAUAGAAGUAGGACAUAACUUUAUUUGAAAGGAGAGACAAGGAAAUUAGUCUUCGCAUAGAAGACUGAUGCCAAAAACACAUCAGAAGACACACAAGGAAACAGGACACAGCAUGGUCAAUUAUUGAAGAGAAAUGACCAAACUCCUGUAGCUAGACUAGCAGCCGCCCUUUUCAAUUCUUUUGCAUGGCAAGAACCUUCGCCCAAGCUGGUCUUGCAGUGAUAUCAGCUGCCCAUGCGCUAACAUGGGGCCGUGAAUCGAUCAAUUUUUUGCUUUGUGUCACCAACAGCAAGUGUAAGUUAGGUAGAUGGUGCAGAUCUGCCAAGGUGAAGGAGUCACCAGCCAAAUACUUGGAUUGAGCUAGCCGUGACUCGUAGACAUCAAGAACGUUAGCCAAUUUAGCUUCGUUUUCCUCUACUGCUGCUGGAUCGGUGGUCAGCCCAAAAAAUGGCUUGUAAAAUACUUCCCAGUUCAGCUUUGAAGCUGCUGGUUCAAAUUUUUGAGCCUCCACCUCCAUCCACACUGAUACUAUUGCCAUCUGCUUGCCUGUGCACAAAAGCUGGGUUCCCUUGUCAGGGUUCUCGUGGGUGAUGUAUUGGGUAAUUGCCCUUGAUUCUGCAUACCCAAAGGUUCAAGUUACAUAUAGAAAACACAAAACCAUAGUCUUAGUAGUAGGGCCAUAAUUAGACAUAGAAACCAAGAAAAACCAUACCAAAGAGCUUGAGAUCUCCAUCUUCCAAAGCCGGAACUUGACCAAAUGGCUUCAUCAUCCAGACAAAAGUUUUAUGUUACAUUAGAGGCUAAUACGAUCGAUGCUUGAAAAAAUUGAAAGAAAGAAAUUAAACAUCUUUUUCCAGCACUUACAUUGAGGGAGAUGAAAGGCUCUUUCUUGUGCUCGCCUGCUCCCAUAUUCACAUUAACAAACUCAAACUCCAACUCUUUCUCAUAGAGGGAGACGAGAACUCGCUGUGUAGCUGUUGAGAAAGGGCUUCCAUGGACUUUGAUGGUUGCCAUCAUACGCCUUAAGCUGAGAUACUGAUGAAAAACAAAGAGGAAAGAUAAG